UAGGCUACGCGUGGUUUGCGAACAAAUCACAUGUGAUUUAUUGUACACCUUUGCAUUGCUGCAAGUUAUUGCCUCUAAGUUGCUGUAAAUAUGUCAACGCACACGAUGACUCGAGGCACAAAAUCUGCCAUUUUGCGGAGUGAAGACAUCACAGUGGACAAUUUGGCAAAGAUUUUCAAGAUCACGCAAUCAAGUCUUUACUUGACACAUCAGAAUGGAGUGUCUGUAUUCCCACUAGAAGCUGGAUUUUUCAGCUCUCUUUACCUGGAUGACGGGGCCACCUUCCAGGUGAUGGGUGAUGAUGUACCGGGGCCAUUACCAAGCACCAACUCAACCCCUGUCUAUUCAACCCCUGGACCAAAUAGCGUUAUACCUCGUUCUCAUUUUCUCGAACUGCAUUAGCUGCACGUUCAUCGUCUCCUGCUACGAACCCCAGAAUCUACCAGAGGACAAUCUUUAUUGGGCAACUGGAGGGGGAGAGGAUUGUUCAGGAAAAAGCUCUGGUAAUUCAAUUUGAAGAAUCAGAGGCCUGUGUGAAAAUAAUAACCAACAAAGUCAAAGAGGCCCUGGACACACAAGAAGAUGUCUUCCUAACUGACAGUCAGGGGAAUCUGCUUCUUGACACCUCUGGCACUAAAGGUUGGAACGUUUGAACAUUUCUCUUACUCCAACUCUUAGUAUGAAAACAAGCAUGCCAUCAUGUGAAUACAAAUAUUGGUAUUGGGGGUUGAUAGGAAAUUGAACAUUUUAGGUUUUAGAAACCCAUGGGAGGCUAUGGAAUACAGCUGUAACUUGUCAAAUAUAUAAUGGUUGUGUUGCGUUAAAGUAAAUUAACCAAACUAU
This is a long non-coding RNA of Osmerus eperlanus (European smelt), 843 nucleotides long. RefSeq lists it as uncharacterized. Lineage: Eukaryota; Metazoa; Chordata; Actinopteri; Osmeriformes; Osmeridae. The record is from RefSeq and is a predicted model, not a curated record. The transcript has 3 exons.